Molecule: non-coding RNA, 1549 nt
Organism: Leptonychotes weddellii (Weddell seal)
Lineage: Eukaryota; Metazoa; Chordata; Mammalia; Carnivora; Phocidae
Source: RefSeq, a predicted model, not a curated record
GGUUCGCUCCUGUUUCAGGUAAUCGUACAGUCUGGCCGCCACCCCACGGUGCUGCAGAAGCUCUGCCAACUGCCCUUCCAAUAUUUCAGUGACCCACGGCUGAUCAAAGUGCUCUUCCCUUCACUUAUCGCUGCUUGUUACAACAACCGUCAGAACAAGAUCAUUCUGGAGCAAGAGAUGAGCUGUGUUUUACUGGCCACAUUCAUUCAGGAUUUUGUACAGACUCCAGGCCAGGCAGAUAACCAGUCUUAUCAGCCCAAAGGAAAAUCCCUUGGUUCCCAAGACUAUCUCGAGCUGGCUAACAGAUUUCCUCAGGCAGCCUGGGAAGAAGCUCGACAGUUUUUUUUAAAAAAAGAGAAAAAAUAAAUGACUUGGUUAGUUCUGUAUUUGAGUACCCUUGUUAAUAUUUUAAAUUGUUCAAACAAAUGUUCUAACUGUUCCUUAAGAAGCUCAUUUUCACAUGUUUAUACUCUCCCCCUGCACUGUAGAUACGGUAUAUACUUUGCACUAUUUAUAAUGACUGUAGAUACUUUAAUGUUCUAAUUCUGCAAGUUGAGUUUAUUUCACUUAUGCACAAUAUUUUGGAGUUCAGUAACCUACAUCCUAUGAUAAUAUAUACUUUGCAUUUGUAAUAUGGGUGAAAUUAGACAUAAAAUUAGCAAGUCUGUUUUGUUCUUGUAAUAAAAUAACUUAUUCCGUUUGCAGUGAUGACUUUUCUUAUUAAGGUAGUUCAAAUUUGUAUACAAAUUUGUAGUACAAAUUUGAAAGAAAAAUGUUAACUCCAACUCUGGGAGUCUCUUAAAGACUUAAAGUUAACCCCUAAAUUUCCCUUUUUAAGGUGUGGAGUAAAGAUGUCUGUAACGCUUGGGUAUUCUAAUUGCGUAAUAUGUGGGGGGCUAUUUGAAAUGAACCGGGAGCACUGUAUUCAUUGGUCUGCCCAACUCUUCCUGGCAGACCUUACUGAGAACCUCCUGUAGCGUUGCUGAACUGAAAUUAUUCUCCAGAAUAAACAUUAGCGAUUCAAAAAGAUCAGCCAUAGUGAAUCACCUUGAAGUAUGUUCUCAAUAAUUGUGAAGCAACAAUGAAGUAAAAGUAAAACAGAAGGCCACAAGGGCUCUGAGUAGAAGUUGUAACCGACCCCGUGCACCGCUCCCAGCUGAACGUGAGAAGUCAGCCCGGGGGACGUCGACGUUUUCCGAUCUCCUGCUCAUCGUUUCUCCACCUUAAGCCGAUGGUCAGUGCUAAGCCGUUCACUGAGUGAUAUCUGUAACAAUUUCUGUCAGAUAAGGAUCAAACAUUACCAAGAAAAAAGAUGUGGUUGGAAAACAAGUGGCCUGAAUAUGUGUCAGAGACCAGACUAUAGGGAGGUCGGGGGGAGGAGGGGGCCGGGACUAGAAAAUACGAAAGUUUCAUGGGUUUUUUAAAAGCAAACUUAACCUACCUAAUGUUCAGGACACUUCUUUUUGGAGCCUCACAAAGCUGCUGAGUUACGUGUAUGCUGUUUUACUUUGCAAAUCGGGAGAAAAUAAAGAGGUCUCAAAAAUUCCAA